This 404-nucleotide ribosomal RNA is filed under the name uncultured Roseicyclus sp. RNAcentral's name for it is "bacterial SSU rRNA". It matches the Rfam family "Bacterial small subunit ribosomal RNA", at positions 29 to 478 of the family's 1533-position model. The record is from RNAcentral. Lineage: Bacteria; Pseudomonadati; Pseudomonadota; Alphaproteobacteria; Rhodobacterales; Roseobacteraceae.
AACGAACGCUGGCGGCAGGCCUAACACAUGCAAGUCGAGCGAGACCUUCGGGUCUAGCGGCGGACGGGUGCGUAACGCGUGGGAACGUACCCUUCUCUACGGAAUAGUCCCGGGAAACUGGGUUUAAUACCGUAUACGCCCUUAGGGGGAAAGAUUUAUCGGAGAGGGAUCGGCCCGCGUUGGAUUAGGUAGUUGGUGGGGUAAUGGCCUACCAAGCCGACGAUCCAUAGCUGGUUUGAGAGGAUGAUCAGCCACACUGGGACUGAGACACGGCCCAGACUCCUACGGGAGGCAGCAGUGGGGAAUCUUAGACAAUGGGGGAAACCCUGAUCUAGCCAUGCCGCGUGAGUGACGAAGGCCUUAGGGUCGUAAAGCUCUUUCACCAGGGAUGAUAAUGACAGUAC